GGAAUCUUGGUCAAUGGGGGAAACCCUGAACCAGCAACGCCGCGUGAGGGAUGAAGGCCCUCGGGUCGUAAACCUCUGUCGGGAGGGAAGAAAGGAUUCCGGAUUAAUACCCCGGGAUACUGACGGUACCUUCAAAGGAAGCGCCGGCUAACUCCGUGCCAGCAGCCGCGGUAAUACGGAGGGCGCGAGCGUUAUUCGGAAUCAUUGGGCGUAAAGCGCGUGCAGGCGGCUGGGAAAGUCAGAUGUGAAAGCCCGGGGCUCAACCCCGGAAUUGCAUUUGAAACUACCUGGCUAGAGUCUCGGAGAGGAGGGCGGAAUUCCCGGUGUAGAGGUGAAAUUCGUAGAUAUCGGGAGGAACACCAGUGGCGAAGGCGGCCCUCUGGACGAUGACUGACGCUGAGACGCGAAAGCGUGGGGAGCAAAC
This 424-nucleotide ribosomal RNA is filed under the name uncultured bacterium. RNAcentral's name for it is "bacterial SSU rRNA". It matches the Rfam family "Bacterial small subunit ribosomal RNA", at positions 358 to 773 of the family's 1533-position model. The record is from RNAcentral.